GAUGAACGCUGGCGGCGUGCCUAAUACAUGCAAGUCGAGCGAACAGACGAGGAGCUUGCUCCUCUGACGUUAGCGGUGGACGGGUGAGUAACACGUGAAUAACCUACCUAUAAGACUGGGAUAACUUCGGGAAACCGGAGCUAAUACCGGAUAACAUGUUGAACCGCAUGGUUCAACAGUGAAAGACGGUCUUGCUGUCACUUAUAGAUGGAUCCGCGCCGCAUUAGCUAGUUGGUAAGGUACCGGCUUACCAAGGCAACGAUGCGUAGCCGACCUGAGAGGGGGGUCGGCCACACUGGAACUGAGACACGGUCCAGACUCCUACGGGAGGCAGCAGUAGGGAAUCUUCCGCAAUGGGCGAAAGCCUGACGGAGCAACGCCGCGUGAGUGAAGAAGGUCUUCGGAUCGUAAAACUCUGUUAUUAGGGAAGAACAAAUGUGUAAGUAACUAUGCACGUCUUGACGGUACCUAAUCAGAAAGCCACGGCUAACUACGUGCCAGCCGCCGCAGUAA
This 513-nucleotide ribosomal RNA is filed under the name uncultured bacterium. RNAcentral describes it as "partial 16S ribosomal RNA". It matches the Rfam family "Bacterial small subunit ribosomal RNA", at positions 28 to 523 of the family's 1533-position model. The record is from RNAcentral.